RNAcentral lists this ribosomal RNA (706 nucleotides) under uncultured Pseudomonadota bacterium. RNAcentral describes it as "bacterial SSU rRNA". It matches the Rfam family "Bacterial small subunit ribosomal RNA", at positions 40 to 741 of the family's 1533-position model. The record is from RNAcentral. Lineage: Bacteria; Pseudomonadati; Pseudomonadota.
CGGCAGGCCUAACACAUGCAAGUCGAGCGGAUGACGGGAGCUUGCUCCUUGAUUCAGCGGCGGACGGGUGAGUAAUGCCUAGGAAUCUGCCUGGUAGUGGGGGACAACGUUUCGAAAGGAACGCUAAUACCGCAUACGUCCUACGGGAGAAAGCAGGGGACCUUCGGGCCUUGCGCUAUCAGAUGAGCCUAGGUCGGAUUAGCUAGUUGGUGGGGUAAUGGCUCAUCAAGGCGACGAUCCGUAACUGGUCUGAGAGGAUGAUCAGUCACACUGGAACUGAGACACGGUCCAGACUCCUACGGGAGGCAGCAGUGGGGAAUAUUGGACAAUGGGCGAAAGCCUGAUCCAGCCAUGCCGCGUGUGUGAAGAAGGUCUUCGGAUUGUAAAGCACUUUAAGUUGGGAGGAAGGGCAGUAAGUUAAUACCUUGCUGUUUUGACGUUACCGACAGAAUAAGCACCGGCUAACUCUGUGCCAGCAGCCGCGGUAAUACAGAGGGUGCAAGCGUUAAUCGGAAUUACUGGGCGUAAAGCGCGCGUAGGUGGUUUGUUAAGUUGGAUGUGAAAGCCCCGGGCUCAACCUGGGAACUGCAUCCAAAACUGGCAAGCUAGAGUACGGUAGAGGGUGGUGGAAUUUCCUGUGUAGCGGUGAAAUGCGUAGAUAUAGGAAGGAACACCAGUGGCGAAGGCGACCACCUGGACUGAUACU